The sequence is a small nuclear RNA, 162 nucleotides long. It matches the Rfam family "U4 spliceosomal RNA". Rfam says of the family: U4 small nuclear RNA (U4 snRNA) is a component of the major U2-dependent spliceosome. The record is from Rfam.
AUCCAUCAGUGAGGCAGGCGCUUCAUCCAGUGAGGUCUUUACCGAGGAGAAGCUUAUUGCUGAUUGCAAAUUACCUAUAUUGCACGUCCUUGCUGUCACCAUGACGGCCUGGCAAUUUUUGGCACCCUUUCCUUCUCUUCUUCCGCCAUCUCGGAGUCGAGG